RNAcentral lists this ribosomal RNA (252 nucleotides) under uncultured bacterium. RNAcentral describes it as "partial 16S ribosomal RNA". It matches the Rfam family "Bacterial small subunit ribosomal RNA", at positions 524 to 776 of the family's 1533-position model. The record is from RNAcentral.
UACGUAGGGGGCUAGCGUUAUCCGGAAUUACUGGGCGUAAAGGGUGCGUAGGUGGUUUCUUAAGUCAGAGGUGAAAGGCUACGGCUCAACCGUAGUAAGCCUUUGAAACUGGGGAACUUGAGUGCAGGAGAGGAGAGUGGAAUUCCUAGUGUAGCGGUGAAAUGCGUAGAUAUUAGGAGGAACACCAGUUGCGAAGGCGGCUCUCUGGACUGUAACUGACACUGAGGCACGAAAACGUGGGGAGCAAACAGG